CUUGACUAUCCAUUGGCCCACGUGGGUAUCUACAGUAGAUUGAUAGCUCUGAGAGUUCUCAUUUGACCUUGUCACUUGGUUCGGUGAUAUUACAAUAGAAGUAGAAACUUUCAGCAGCCUGUAAGUGAGAACGGAAAUUAUAUUGAGAAAUCCAGAUGUGCAGUUGUGCAAGAGCAAGCUGGUGUGGAUUUUUGAAUGGAUAUUCUGAAGACAACUAGGUGCAUGUCCCAGCAAAGCUUCGCAAAGAUGUCAGUAUUAAUUGUCACCAUCCUCCAGGGAGAAAGCAACAGCCCACAAUUGCCUGCAUUUUCUUUCCUCUUCAAAACCACUUCUGCUCCAAAGACCAUGAACCUGAACUGAAGAAACGACUCCUUCCUGCUGGUGUGAGAUAAUUCAGUCUCCAUGAUGUCUUAAUCCUGGGCCUCCCUUAAUUGACUUCUAACUGUGCUGAACUGUGGCUGCUAGGAGUUGCAAUGUGGAUCGCAAUUUACAAGGAAGAGAAAAAGACCGGUCUCUGUUUGGAAAUUACAAACAUAGAAGAACUUAGAAACAAUGGGUUUCUAGAUUGGGUGGAAGGACUGGCUUGGGAUCCUGAGAGAGCAAGAAAAGUUUACCGGGAGCUUCAGAAAAAGUUAUUCAUCAUUUUUGGAGUGGAUAUUCAGAAGUGACUUCCCUCUUUUGCUCUGGUAGGUAUGGAUAUGAGACCUCAGAAACCCCAGAACUCCUCAUUCUUUGCCUGACAGAAAAGCCCACACAUGGGAAAGACAGCCAUAAAGAUCAAAAGUAGAGCCCCUGGACUAAAUUAAGAAAGCAACUUGCUCAACCUUUCCACAUCUAGUUCCGUGAGCAAUCCAUUUCCUCAUGUCCAAAACAGCUUGACUGGGGGUUUCGGUUACUUACAGCCCAAAGCACACCAACUGGUAUGGUCAUCAGAAUUUAAGGCUUUUAAGUACUUAAAAUUCUGAUUUUAAGGA
Molecule: long non-coding RNA, 974 nt
Filed under: Homo sapiens (human)
Lineage: Eukaryota; Metazoa; Chordata; Mammalia; Primates; Hominidae
Description: HSALNT0140415
Source: RNAcentral